GCCUCAUUACCCAAACAGAAUAUAUGUCAAGGCAGCUAAAGAGGAGUUAUCAGCAAAUGAGGAAGGUUCUGAAAUUGAACUGCUGUAAUUGAGUAUUCUAGAAGAAGUUGUUGGAGAGAAUUACGGGUGAGGUAGCACGCAAGGAAGGGUAAUCAAAUGACAGCCAAGGAGCAUGUGCUGAGUAGUCUAUCAAAGCAUCUAGAAUAAUGAGGAAGGCAUGUUGAGUAAUUUCUCUUAUUUUCGGCAUUAUUGUUAGGCCAGGGAUUCUUCUCUGGAAAUUCUGAAAUUUGUAUUUCAGCAUUUUUUUUAUUGCCGUAUUGAGAGCCAGAGAGUAUAGUGAGAGAAUUGCUGUGUAAUUUCUUUACUGUAAUCUCUAGUACUUAAUAUAAAUUCACAUUUUGUUUUUCUUCCCAUUGGUUUACUCUCCUAACUCUAUCAAUUUCCCUUUGUAAUCAUAUUCACAUCGUUUGCUUCUAACCAUUUGUUACUUUGUUUCAUUCUUCUCGUUACUAUUUUUUGUUGCCUUCACUAUUAUUAUAUUUAUGUUUCUGUUGCUUAUUAAAUGAUGGUGAAAUUAAAGAACAGCAAUGGGCCAGCCACUUGAGCUUUGAAAAUUUGAAAAAAGUCAGUAAAAUGUAAUGCAUAGAUUUCUGCGUGAAUAGACGUGCAAAAAUACAGAAUUACAAUAAAAU
RNAcentral lists this unclassified non-coding RNA (692 nucleotides) under Hevea brasiliensis (rubber tree). The record is from RNAcentral. Lineage: Eukaryota; Viridiplantae; Streptophyta; Magnoliopsida; Malpighiales; Euphorbiaceae.